RNAcentral lists this ribosomal RNA (517 nucleotides) under Cytospora xinglongensis. RNAcentral describes it as "Cytospora sp. QY-2019h partial large subunit ribosomal RNA". It matches the Rfam family "Eukaryotic large subunit ribosomal RNA", at positions 89 to 629 of the family's 3401-position model. Lineage: Eukaryota; Fungi; Ascomycota; Sordariomycetes; Diaporthales; Cytosporaceae. The record is from RNAcentral.
GCGAGUGAAGCGGCAACAGCUCAAAUUUGAAAGCUGGCUCCGGCCCGCAUUGUAAUUUGCAGAGGAUGCUUUUGGUGAGGUGCCUUCCGAGUUCCCUGGAACGGGACGCCACAGAGGGUGAGAGCCCCGUAUGGAUGGACACCAAACCUGUGUAAAGCUCCUUCAACGAGUCGAGUAGUUUGGGAAUGCUGCUCAAAAUGGGAGGUAAAUCUCUUCUAAAGCUAAAUACCGGCCAGAGACCGAUAGCGCACAAGUAGAGUGAUCGAAAGAUGAAAAGCACCUUGAAAAGGGGGUUAAACAGUACGUGAAAUUGUUGAAAGGGAAGCGUUUAUGACCAGACUUGCGCCGGGCAGCUCAUCAGGGGUUCUCCCCUGUGCACUCUGCCCGGCUCAGGCCAGCAUCGGUUCUCGUGGGAGGAUAAGAACGGUAGGAAUGUGGCCCCCUCUCGGGGGGGUGUUAUAGCCUGCCGUACGAUACUCUCGUGGGGACCGAGGUUCGCGCUCCGCAAGGAUGCUGG